GAUGAACGCUGGCGGCGUGCCUAAUACAUGCAAGUCGAGCGAACGGACGAGAAUCUUGCUUUUGUGAUAUUAUCGGCGGACAGGGGAGUAACACGUGGAUAACCUACCCAUAAGACUGGGAUAAAUUCGGGAAACCGGAGCUAAUACAGGGUAAUAUUUUGAACACCAUGGUUCAAAAGUGAAAGAGGGGCUUGCUGUAACUUAUAGAUAUAUCCGCGCUGCAUUAGCUAGUUGGUAAGGUAAAGGCUUACCAAGGCAACGAUGCAUAGCCGACCUGAGAGGGUGAUCGGCCACACUGGAACUGAGACACGGUCCAGACUCCUACGGGAGGCAGCAGUAGGGAAUCUUCCGCAAUGGGCGAAAGCCUGACGGAGCAACGCCGCGUGAGUGAUGAAGGUCUUCGGAUCGUAAAACUCUGUUAUUAGGGAAGAACAUAUGUGUAAGUACCUGUGCACAUCUUGACGGUACCUAAUCAGAAAGCCACGGCUAACUACGUG
RNAcentral lists this ribosomal RNA (497 nucleotides) under uncultured bacterium. RNAcentral's name for it is "partial 16S ribosomal RNA". It matches the Rfam family "Bacterial small subunit ribosomal RNA", at positions 28 to 507 of the family's 1533-position model. The record is from RNAcentral.